GAUAGCCUAGCCUCGAUCCCAGGCCGAGUUUUCGCUUUUAUAACGGUUAGGCGAACAACUGGGCCUGGUACUAGUUGUCUGCGCAUGCGUCAGUCGUUCGUCAGAUUCUGACGAAUGGAUAUUCUCGUUCACUUUUGUGACAUUUAUAUUCGUGUACUAUCGUGUACUAGAAGUCAGUUCCCGUUUUAUCAUUAUUGGAAUCGAUUGGAAUGGCUCUUAGCUGAAGCUUCUCUCUUCUCUGAAGCUUAUUCUGAAGACUGAACAACAAGGGAAGAGGUAUAAAGCUUUGUCAAGCUUGUUAAGGUCAGAUAUUUUUGUGUGGGCCCUAUGGCCGGCUAUGCUAUCAAGUCUUGUUCAUGUUUGGCAAGAAUGUAGGUAGACUAUAGUUUCAUCAUUAAUAUGGUGGAUCAAGUGAAGAGUGUGAGCUAGAGAACUUGGUGCUGCCAUCAUCAGCUCGUCGACAAUGACACUAUAACCGAGAAAUUUAAUAUGUAUAGAUCUACACGUAUUUAAAAUGUCUACUUCUCUGCAAUGGCUAAUAUCCAGCUAUCCCAACAGUGCUCCUCUUGGCUAUACUAACGGACGAGACUGGACAGUUUGAGACACAGGACUGGAGUAUGACCUGCUCAUUCGAGCGUUGCUGGGUAGCUCAGAGACAUCAAGAGAAUCUACAUUUUCUCAAGCAAUGAGUUACGAGUUGGGGCCUAGAAUCAGAGAAGUCCAGCAGCCUGCUGAAUCUUUUUGAAACGUAAUUUGAAGGCAUUCAAUCAUCCUGAAGUUGCCCUGGGUCACUGUAAUUGUGCUGCAGCACAACUGGCAACUCCCCAGGCCUUUGUGAAGCAGCUCCCUAUGUGCAUCUUUUGUGUACUCACUCUGUGCAUUUUCUGUGUAGAAAUUUCUAUUAUUGAUUUAUUAAAUAUUUUUGCCGACCACAAA
Halichondria panicea is the source of this 936-nucleotide long non-coding RNA. RefSeq lists it as uncharacterized. The transcript is spliced from 2 exons. The record is from RefSeq and is a predicted model, not a curated record. NCBI's taxonomy places the organism in Eukaryota, Metazoa, Porifera, Demospongiae, Suberitida, Halichondriidae.